UUUUGGACAUGGGGGGCAAGCCUGAUCCAGCAAUGCCGCGUGAGUGAAGAAGGCCUUCGGGUUGUAAAGCUCUUUUGUCAGGGAAGAAACGGUGAGCUUUAAUACAGUUUGAUAAUGACGGUACCUGAAGAAUAAGCACCGGCUAACUUCGUGCCAGCAGCCGCGGUAAUACGUAGGGUGCAAGCGUUAAUCGGAAUUACUGGGCGUAAAGCGUGCGCAGGCGGUUAUGUAAGUCAGAUGUGAAAUCCCCGGGCUCAACCUGGGAAUGGCAUUUGAGACUGCAUGGCUAGAGUGUGUCAGAGGGGGGUAGAAUUCCACGUGUAGCAGUGAAAUUCGUAGAGAUGGGGAGGAAUACCGAUGGCGAAGGCAGCCCCCUGGGAUAACACUACGCUCAUGCACGAA
Molecule: ribosomal RNA, 402 nt
Filed under: uncultured bacterium
Lineage: Bacteria
Description: bacterial SSU rRNA
Rfam family: Bacterial small subunit ribosomal RNA
Source: RNAcentral